UUGGGUUUGAAAAAAUAUAAAAAAAGGAUCAUUAAUACAGAUAGGAUGAAAGCCCACUUGCCAUUAAUGCACAUAAGACAAAAGCCCACACUCGCCAUGAAUAGUGGGUUGAGCUUGUAUUUAUUAUGUUGAUCCCACAGAGUUUAUAUUUAUUCUGAAGUAUUUUUAUUUAUUUUAUUUUUAUUUAUUUUAGACUCAUUUAUGUUUAUUCUG
This 213-nucleotide long non-coding RNA is filed under the name Elaeis guineensis (African oil palm). Its description in RNAcentral is "long non-coding RNA (EGUI_LNC040728)". Lineage: Eukaryota; Viridiplantae; Streptophyta; Magnoliopsida; Arecales; Arecaceae. The record is from RNAcentral.